CUUACCGUCAACGACCAGGGGUAUUGUUCCCUCGCCGCCAUCUUGGGUCCCGACAGUGCUUUACGACCCGAGGGCCUUCAUCACACACACGGCGUUGCUGCGUCAGGCUUUCGCCCAUUGCGCAAAAUUCCCC
RNAcentral lists this ribosomal RNA (133 nucleotides) under uncultured bacterium. RNAcentral describes it as "partial 16S ribosomal RNA". The record is from RNAcentral.